AUUGAACGCUGGCGGCAUGCCUUACACAUGCAAGUCGAACGGCAGCACGGGUGCUUGCUCCUGGUGGCGAGUGGCGAACGGGUGUGUAAUACAUGGGCACAUGUCCUGUAGUGGGGGAUCGUCCGGCGAAAGCCGGAUUUAUACCGCAUAAGCUCUACGGAUGAAAGCGGGGGCCCCUCGGGCCUCGCGAUCUGGGGUUGGCCGAUGGCUGAUUAGGUAGUUGGUGGGGUAAAGGCCUACCAAGGCGACGAUCAGUAGCUGGUCUGAGAGGACGACCAGCCACACUGGGACUGAGACACGGCCCAGACUCCUACGGGAGGCAGCAGUGGGGAAUUUUGGACAAUGGGCGAAAGCCUGAUCCAGCAAUGCCGCGUGUGUGAAGAAGGCCUUCGGGUUGUAAAGCACUUUUGUCCGGAAAGAAAUCCUUGGCCCUAAUACGGUCGGGGGAUGACGGUACCGGAAGAAUAAGCACCGGCUAACUACGUG
RNAcentral lists this ribosomal RNA (486 nucleotides) under uncultured bacterium. RNAcentral's name for it is "partial 16S ribosomal RNA". It matches the Rfam family "Bacterial small subunit ribosomal RNA", at positions 30 to 507 of the family's 1533-position model. The record is from RNAcentral.